Non-coding RNA from Microcebus murinus (gray mouse lemur), 1033 nucleotides. The record is from RefSeq and is a predicted model, not a curated record. Lineage: Eukaryota; Metazoa; Chordata; Mammalia; Primates; Cheirogaleidae.
CUAGAGUGUUCUUGCUCUUCCUAACCUAACAUCCCUUUUCCCUUCCCUGCUGUCUUCCCUGAGGACUUCAGGCUCCAGUCAGAUACGAAGACAACAGCCUUACAGAGAUUGCUAACUCACAACUUCAUAAGGCCAUUUGCUUUUAUAUAUUUACAUAUAAACGUGAAAUUAUCUAUAUAUAAUGUAUCUAUCUGUCUAUCUUUCUAUCUACCUGUCUCCUAGUGGUUUUGCUUCUCUCUGAUCAAUACAGAAGGAAUACCACCAAGGAAUAUUUCAUCAGAAUACCACCAACAGCUGCAACAAGAAUAUUAAGAAAUAUUUUUGAGAGCUUUUUAAGCAUCAGGACUAUGCACCUUUAGGCAUAAGGACUUAUUUAAUCCUCGCAAUAAUUCUUCCCUCCAGGACUAUUAUCCCCAUUUUGCAGAAGGGGAACCCAGAUUGAGAGAGGUGAAGUCCCUGGCCUGCCGUCAUGGAGCUAGAGUGUGGCAGAACCGAAUGCCAGUCCGAGUUUGCUCAACCCCAAAGCCCGGGCUUUAAACUGUUGCAUUGUACUGCUUGCAGGAAAAGUGAACUCCAGCCACACUUAACAUUAGUCAUGUGUUUUAUGGACAUUCUGAUGCAUGAAUGCUGGGGUACCCUCUAACUGCAGAGGAAGAGAGAAGAGCAUGCUUGCUUUGGAAACAAGAUGUGCCUUGAAGGUCAUGAUGUCUUUGAGGGUUUGGUUUACAAGCCACUGUGACAUUUUCACUGACUCAUAAAAGAGGCCCCCUACUUGGCCUCCUUCUGGAAGCUACUCACAGCGCAAAUGUGGUCUUCCUAGAGUGCGGAGAUGACACCAGUAUUCCCAGGAAGGUAAUGUGAAUAGUUGCUCCAGGUUGACACGUUGGAAAACCCCAAAAGUUCUGAGUCCCUGCAGCUCCCAAGCGGCAGGCUCAGGAGCACAACGUGCUCAUCAGCGGAUGAAGAACCAGAGAAGGGAUGGUGGGAUUUUCUUCUGAAAAAUCAUGCACUGACUUGUCAGAGAGAAAACAGA